RNAcentral lists this long non-coding RNA (948 nucleotides) under Marmota monax (woodchuck). Lineage: Eukaryota; Metazoa; Chordata; Mammalia; Rodentia; Sciuridae. The record is from RNAcentral.
UCCGCCUCCUCACUCUUUCCUCUUCUGCAGCCACUUUCCCUCCUCCCCUCCUCUGCCUCCCUUGUCCCUCUUCUCAUCCCACUGGCUGAUUGUGACCUUUGGUCUUCUCUUCCAGGAAACUGCCUCCUUGUGGGAAAGGGCUCAGGCCCUGGUAUGUGGGAGAGAGGGAAACAGAAACCCGAAGACCCAAAGGCAGAGAGCAAGAGUAAGCAGUGCCAAAACAUCUGCAGAAAGAGACGUGGACCCAGAAAGAACACCAAGAAGCAGAAAUAUCUGAUUGAUUCCCAAAACAGUAAAACCUGCAACCUGCGCUGGGGUGUCACCAGUGGGAGAGCUCCUGAACAAAGCCCUGGGUUCAGUCCCAGCACCAGCCAAACAAAACGAAAACCUCAGCUAACAAAACGACACCUACCACCAGUGAUCAGGACUCAGGCCAGACACCUGGGACCUGGGAAUCCCUUGUCACCUUUCUCAAACCCAUACUGCAGCCCGAAACAAUUCAUCGACCAGCUCCACCCUCCCCCAGGACUAUCUCCCCCUGGUCCUAUCUAGCAUCCCCCACUUGAGCCUUCACAGCAGCUUCCUCAAUCUCUCUGUUCCAGCCUGUCCUUUCUCUUUUCUCCACUCCCCCGGGGGACAAACAAGGGAAGCCUGUUAGGACACCUGAUCACAAAAAGUCAAAAGUCCUAAGUCCUCUAUGCAUCCUACACAACCUGGCUCCCAUCUGCUGCCCUCCCCCUGCUCAUGUGACCUCAGUCACUGCUUUCCUAGCUGCUCCACCAGCACAUCUGGCCCGUUACAGCCACAGGGCCUUUAUGCUGGCUGUAAAGGCUGUCCUGUCCCUCUGCCUGCAUGACACCCUGGUGUCCUCAAAGCUUACUCCCCUCCUUUGGGUCUUUGCUCAGAUGAGAUUAUCCCGGACUGGUUCUAUUACAACCCAGACCCCCU